This 432-nucleotide ribosomal RNA is filed under the name uncultured bacterium. RNAcentral describes it as "partial 16S ribosomal RNA". It matches the Rfam family "Bacterial small subunit ribosomal RNA", at positions 29 to 507 of the family's 1533-position model. The record is from RNAcentral.
ACGAACGCUGGCGGCAUGCCUAACACAUGCAAGUCGAACGAUGCUUUCGGGCAUAGUGGCGCACGGGUGCGUAACGCGUGGGAAUCUGCCCUUGGGUUCGGAAUAACAGUGAGAAAUUGCUGCUAAUACCGGAUGAUGUCUUCGGACCAAAGAUUUAUCGCCCAGGGAUGAGCCCGCGUAGGAUUAGCUAGUUGGUGGGGUAAUGGCCUACCAAGGCGACGAUCCUUAGCUGGUCUGAGAGGAUGAUCAGCCACACUGGGACUGAGACACGGCCCAGACUCCUACGGGAGGCAGCAGUGGGGAAUAUUGGACAAUGGGCGCAAGCCUGAUCCAGCAAUGCCGCGUGAGUGAUGAAGGCCUUAGGGUUGUAAAGCUCUUUUACCUGGGAUGAUAAUGACAGUACCGGGAGAAUAAGCUCCGGCUAACUCCGUG